This 74-nucleotide transfer RNA is filed under the name Nephromyces sp. ex Molgula occidentalis. Its description in RNAcentral is "tRNA-Pro". It matches the Rfam family "tRNA". Rfam says of the family: Transfer RNA (tRNA) molecules are approximately 80 nucleotides in length. Their secondary structure includes four short double-helical elements and three loops (D, anti-codon, and T loops). Lineage: Eukaryota; Apicomplexa; Aconoidasida; Nephromycida. The record is from RNAcentral.
CGGAAUGUGACGUAGUUUGGUAGCGUUUCUACUUUGGGAGUAGAUAGUCAUAGGUUCAAAUCCUAUCUUUCCGA